AUUGAACGCUGGCGGAAUGCUUUACACAUGCAAGUCGAACGGCAGCACGGACAUCGGUCUGGUGGCGAGUGGCGAACGGGUGAGUAAUGUAUCGGAACGUGCCCAGUCGUGGGGGAUAACGCAGUGAAAAUUACGCUAAUACCGCAUACGAUCUAUGGAUGAAAGCGGGGGAUCGCAAGACCUCGCGCGAUUGGAGCGGCCGAUAUCAGAUUAGGUAGUUGGUGGGGUAAAGGCGCACCAAGCCAACGAUCUGUAGCUGGUCUGAGAGGACGACCAGCCACACUGGAACUGAGACACGGUCCAGACUCCUACGGGAGGCAGCAGUGGGGAAUUUUGGACAAUGGGCGGAAGCCUGAUCCAGCCAUUCCGCGUGCAGGAUGAAGGCCCUCGGGUUGUAAACUGCUUUUGUACAGAACGAAAAGGUUUCUACUAAUACUAGGAGCUCAUGACGGUACUGUAAGAAUAAGCACCGGCUAACUACGUGCCAGCCGCCGCGGUAA
RNAcentral lists this ribosomal RNA (500 nucleotides) under uncultured bacterium. RNAcentral describes it as "partial 16S ribosomal RNA". It matches the Rfam family "Bacterial small subunit ribosomal RNA", at positions 30 to 523 of the family's 1533-position model. The record is from RNAcentral.